CUGGGAGCUUCCCAUCUUGCCCAGAGUUACCUGGCUAGUACACGGCAGCAUGGAGCUUCAGACUGUGGCUGGCUGAUUCCAGACAGAAUAACGUGCCACAAACCCCGGUUUAUUCCAGUGCUGUCCUCACAGAGGUAACUGGGAAGUAUUUCAGCUGAGAUUUAAUAAGCGUUUGCUGAGCCUCUAGCGUAUGUGAGCCGCUGUACCAGAUAAUGUCACAUACACUAUUCCAUCCGAAUUCAAAGAACCCCUGCGAGCGAUGUGAAAUUCUACCCAUUUUACAGAUCAAGAAACUGAGGCUCAUAGAAGGGUGGAAAACACAAGAUGACAGAAACAAACAGUAGAUAACAUCUAAGGACUGACCACACAAUGUCGUCACGUAUGUUUUCCAAGACCAAGGACUCCAGAGGCCAUGAGACCCAAGAGCCCUGGCUCCGGGACAUAAGGGACUUUGGGAGGACUCAAGGAGGACCUGAACACUCAUCUGUGUUGGACCAGUUCCUGGAUGCCUGAGAAGACAUGUACACCAGACCACCAUCCUCAGGAAGAACCCCUGACCCCAAGCAAAACUGAAAUUCUUCUUUCCUUUCUGAGUCACCCAGACACUGUCUGUACCUGCAUUCUCCAUCUACCCUCAAUAAACUCUACUCUC
This is a long non-coding RNA of Mustela erminea (ermine), 652 nucleotides long. RefSeq lists it as uncharacterized. The transcript is spliced from 3 exons. Lineage: Eukaryota; Metazoa; Chordata; Mammalia; Carnivora; Mustelidae. The record is from RefSeq and is a predicted model, not a curated record.